GUUUGAUCCUGGCUCAGGAUGAACGCUGGCGGCGUGCUUAACACAUGCAAGUCGAACGAACCUUCGGGUUAGUGGCGGACGGGUGAGUAACGCGUGAGAAUCUGCCCUCAGGAGGGGGAUAACGGUUGGAAACGACCGCUAAUACCCCAUAUGCCUACUGGUGAAAUGAAUUUCGCCUGAGGAUGAGCUCGCGUCUGAUUAGCUAGUUGGUGAGGUAAUGGCUCACCAAGGCUUCGAUCAGUAGCUGGUCUGAGAGGAUGAUCAGCCACACUGGGACUGAGACACGGCCCAGACUCCUACGGGAGGCAGCAGUGGGGAAUUUUCCGCAAUGGGCGAAAGCCUGACGGAGCAACGCCGCGUGAGGGACGAAGGCCUCUGGGCUGUAAACCUCUUUUCUCAAGGAAGAAGAUAUGACGGUACUUGAGGAAUAAGCCACGGCUAAUUCCGUGCCAGCAGCCGCGGUAAUACGGGAGUGGCAAGCGUUAUCCGGAAUUAUUGGGCGUAAAGCGUCCGCAGGCGGCUUUUCAAGUCUGCUGUUAAAGCGUGGAGCUUAACUCCAUCAUGGCAGUGGAAACUGAAAGGCUUGAGUAUGGUAGGGGCAGAGGGAAUUCCCGGUGUAGCGGUGAAAUGCGUAGAUAUCGGGAAGAACACCAGUGGCGAAGGCGCUCUGCUGGGCCAUUACUGACGCUCAUGGACGAAAGCCAGGGGAGCGAAAGGGAUUAGAUACCCCUGUAGUCCUGGCCGUAAACGAUGAACACUAGGUGUCGGGGGAAUCGACCCCUUCGGUGUCGUAGCUAACGCGUUAAGUGUUCCGCCUGGGGAGUACGCACGCAAGUGUGAAACUCAAAGGAAUUGACGGGGGCCCGCACAAGCGGUGGAGUAUGUGGUUUAAUUCGAUGCAACGCGAAGAACCUUACCAGGGCUUAAAUGUAAGUUGCAUAGACCAGAGAUGGUCUUUUCUUCGGACUACUUACAAGGUGCUGCAUGGUUGUCGUCAGCUCGUGUCGUGAGAUGUUGGGUUAAGUCCCGCAACGAGCGCAACCCACGUUUUUAGUUGCCAGCAUUUAGUUGGGCACUCUAGAAAGACCGCCGGUGAUAAACCGGAGGAAGGUGUGGAUGACGUCAAGUCAUCAUGCCCCUUACACCCUGGGCUACACACGUACUACAAUGCUACGGACAAAGGGCAGCAAACUCGCGAGAGCUAGCAAAUCCCAUAAACCGUGGCUCAGUUCAGAUCGUAGGCUGCAACUCGCCUACGUGAAGUAGGAAUCGCUAGUAAUCGCAGGUCAGCAUACUGCGGUGAAUACGUUCCCGGGCCUUGUACACACCGCCCGUCACACCAUGGAAGUUGGCCAUGCCCGAAGUCGUUACUCCAACCCUUGUGGAGGAGGACGCCGAAGGUGGGGCUAAUGACUGGGGUGAAGUCGUAACAAGGUAGCCGUA
RNAcentral lists this ribosomal RNA (1443 nucleotides) under uncultured bacterium. RNAcentral describes it as "bacterial SSU rRNA". It matches the Rfam family "Bacterial small subunit ribosomal RNA". The record is from RNAcentral.